RNAcentral lists this ribosomal RNA (494 nucleotides) under uncultured bacterium. RNAcentral's name for it is "partial 16S ribosomal RNA". It matches the Rfam family "Bacterial small subunit ribosomal RNA", at positions 28 to 507 of the family's 1533-position model. The record is from RNAcentral.
GACGAACGCUGGCGGCGUGCUUAACACAUGCAAGUCGAACGGUGAAGCGCCUUCCUUUUUGGUGGGUGUGGAUGAGUGGCGAACGGGUGAGUAACACGUGAGUAACCUGCCCCCUUCUUCUGGAUAACCGCAUGAAAGUGUGGCUAAUACGGGAUAUUCUGGGUCUGUCGCAUGAUGGGUCUGGGAAAGAUAUUGUUUCGGUGGGGGAGGGGCUCGCGGCCUAUCAGCUUGUUGGUGGGGUGAUGGCCUACCAAGGCGGUGACGGGUAGCCGGCCUGAGAGGGUGGACGGUCACACUGGGACUGAGACACGGCCCAGACUCCUACGGGAGGCAGCAGUGGGGAAUAUUGCACAAUGGGCGCAAGCCUGAUGCAGCGACGCCGCGUGAGGGAUGGAGGCCUUCGGGUUGUGAACCUCUUUCGCCAGUGAAGCAGGCCUGCCUCGUUUGUGGGUGGGUUGACGGUAGCUGGAUAAGAAGCGCCGGCUAACUACGUG